AGUCUCUAUCGAGGUUAAAGGUACCCGUACCGCAAACCGACACAGGUGGGUGAGGAGAGUAUCCUAAGGCCAGCGAGAGAACUGUUGUUAAGGAACUCGGCAAAAUGACCCCGUAACUUAGGGAUAAGGGGUGCCACCAUCAGGUGGCCGCAGAGAAUAGGCCCAAGCGACUGUUUACCAAAAACAUAGGUUUCUGCUAAGUCGCAAGACGAUGUAUAGGAGCUGACGCCUGCCCGGUGCUGGAA
Molecule: ribosomal RNA, 245 nt
Filed under: Clostridioides difficile
Lineage: Bacteria; Bacillati; Bacillota; Clostridia; Peptostreptococcales; Peptostreptococcaceae
Description: partial 23S ribosomal RNA
Rfam family: Bacterial large subunit ribosomal RNA
Source: RNAcentral